Molecule: ribosomal RNA, 301 nt
Filed under: uncultured bacterium
Lineage: Bacteria
Description: partial 16S ribosomal RNA
Rfam family: Bacterial small subunit ribosomal RNA
Source: RNAcentral
CAGUAGCCGCGGGAAUACAGAGGGUGCAAGCGUUAAUCGGAAUUACUGGGCGUAAAGCGCGCGUAGGUGGUUUGUUAAGUUGGAUGUGAAAUCCCCGGGCUCAACCUGGGAACUGCAUCCAAAACUGGCGAGCUAGAGUAUGGUAGAGGGUGGUGGAAUUUCCUGUGUAGCGGUGAAAUGCGUAGAUAUAGGAAGGAACAUCAGUGGCGAAGGCGACCACCUGGACUGAUACUGACACUGAGGUGCGAAAGCGUGGGGAGCAAACAGGAUUAGAUACCCGAGUAGUCCCUGUCUCUUAUAC